RNAcentral lists this long non-coding RNA (1221 nucleotides) under Homo sapiens (human). RNAcentral's name for it is "HSALNT0369517". Lineage: Eukaryota; Metazoa; Chordata; Mammalia; Primates; Hominidae. The record is from RNAcentral.
AGACUGCUGUGCUAGCAAUCAGCGAGACUCCGUGGGCGUAGGACCCUCCGAGCCAGGCAUCAGCUAUCAAAACUUAUGGGAAAUGGAAUUGAAGACAACUACUUCUAGAAUUGGUGCAUGGAAGCUUCUCAUAGGUGAUUAGCCACACUCUUCUUCUGUCAACCUGGUGCAGAAAAGCUUGAAGACCUUGGAAAUCACAUAUUGAUGAUGGAGGAGAUACAAGAAUGAAGGACCCUGGGUUCCUGAAUCAACACUCUAAGAAGAGACUCCUUGAAAUCAAGAGCACUCAUUUUGACAUUGCAAACGGAAAAAUUCACUUCUAUCAGGUGUCAUUAGUUCCUUGCUAGAAUUUCUUUGGUGUCCUUUCUGCAUUUCAAACUCACAAAGGUUCUGUGAAAAGCAAUAUGUUCCCCAGUGGAGCUUAAAGUCUGGUGCAGAAAGCAGACAUUUAACAGGGGACUGAUCGGAGUCAAACCAUAUGCUGUGGCUUUUGCUCCAUGGAAAUCUCAACUAUACUGCAAGAAUAAUUAUUCCUACUUAAUGAAGUUACAGAAGAGAAUGUGGUGCUGGACGGUACUGACUGCAUGGGGAGAGGCCAUACCACAGAAACCUCAAUCUGCCUGAGCCGUGACUCUGAGAGCUGGAGUACCACUGGACAAGGAGAGUAUGAGAGGAAAAAGCAGCUGACAAACAUACUAAGAAGAAAACAUCUGAAAUUUUAAUGAAUUUUUAAAGAUUAAAUACUGUUGAUAUCUGCUUUCCAAUAUUGCAGCAGUUUUCAAAACUGGAUAUUCCAAACACUUUGAAGAAUUUUAGCCACUUCCUGUUCUUGUCCAGCCCUCGGUUUAGAGAGUUAAUAUUUGUGCACAAGCCACAAGGAUGGGCUCUGGGGAUGGACGAUCCAGCCAUACUCUCUCCAUGGAGCCUAGUGCUGCUGAUAUAUGGAGCCUCACUUCUCUCUUGUGGCUAGAACCACUACUGCCAUCUCUACUGCAUCUCACCAUGGCUCCUAAUCUGGACCCAGGUGCCACCUGGUUUUCUUGGGACCCCAGAAUACCCCCUGAACUGGCUGAAGCCUAUACCUGUGUGAUGGGGCACCAGGCCAAUUGCUUAAAGCCUAAGGCUCAAAAUCCUGAGCCUGCACUUGCAUGGACAUCCUGAGGCCAAUCUCCACCACUUACUGGCUUGCUCUAUAUCUCAUAGACUUUACUUGUAAUUCAA